Molecule: long non-coding RNA, 679 nt
Organism: Salvelinus sp. IW2-2015
Lineage: Eukaryota; Metazoa; Chordata; Actinopteri; Salmoniformes; Salmonidae
Source: RefSeq, a predicted model, not a curated record
ACUCUGUCUCUCUAGAUCAAUCACAAUGUGGCGGAUUCCCUGUCAUUCCCAACACAAAGGUACCUCACGAAAAAGUCUAUAAAAAUAAACAAACUGUUAAAAUUGAUUGCAAAGAUGGAUACACAUCUGAAAAAAAGACUAUAAAUGUAAGGACGAAAAUGGCAAACACCGUUACCAGCUUGUAGACCGCAAGGCGUUCAAUGUGAUCCUCCACACUAAAGUUGAAAAUGCAAUUGUUGAAAUCCCUUAUCAAAAUACAUAUAUAGAUGGAUUUGAAGUGAAUUAUGAAUGUCGCAAGUCCUUUGAAAUAGAGGGACUUAAAAAACUUACUUGUGAAAAUGGGAGUUGGACAACUCCACCACCAACAUGCAAACAGUACUGUGGGAAGCCUGAGGGCGCAGGGAAACAUUUCUGAUUCUUGACCAAGUGCUAGAGAGAUAUGAAAAUGGGAACCAAAUAGAUUAUAAAUGCAUUAGCCCAUACACAGGACCUAGAGGAAAUACAACUUGCAAGAAUGGAGAAUGGCACAUGCCAAUUGAGUGUAAAGCAAGCUGUCCUGACCCUCCUCCAUUAGUAAUGGAGAUUUCACCAUGGAAAAGAGAGAUGUUGAAGGUGUAAUUACAGAGGUGUCCUAUCAAUGCAGCAGACAGUAUACUCUGAGUUUCCAGGCAGCAUCAAA